GAUGAACGCUGACAGAAUGCUUAACACAUGCAAGUCAACUUGAAUUUGGGUUUUUAACUUAAGUUUGGGUGGCGGACGGGUGAGUAACGCGUAAAGAACUUGCCUCACAGCUAGGGACAACAUUUGGAAACGAAUGCUAAUACCUAAUAUUAUGAUAAUAGGGCAUCCUAUAAUUAUGAAAGCUAUAAGCGCUGUGAGAGAGCUUUGCGUCCCAUUAGCUAGUUGGAGAGGUAACGGCUCACCAAGGCGAUGAUGGGUAGCCGACCUGAGAGGGUGAUCGGCCACAAGGGGACUGAGACACGGCCCUUACUCCUACGGGAGGCAGCAGUGGGGAAUAUUGGACAAUGGACCAAGAGUCUGAUCCAGCAAUUCUGUGUGCACGAUGAAGUUUUUCGGAAUGUAAAGUGCUUUCAGUUGGGAAGAAAGAAAUGACGGUACCAACAGAAGAAGUGACGGCUAAAUACGUGCCAUCAGCCGCGGUAAUACGUAUGUCACGAGCGUUAUCCGGAUUUUAUUGGGCGUAAAGCGCGUCUAGGUGGUUAUGUAAGUCUGAUGUGAAAAUGCUGGGCUCAACUCUGUAUUGCGUUGUAAACUGUUUAACUAGAGCACUGGGAUAGGUAGCGGAACUUCUAGUGUAGAUGUGAAAAUUCGUAUAUAUUUGUAGAAAUGCCCAUGGGGAAAUCUGCUUACUGGAUAGAUACUGGCUGCUGGAUGCGCGAAGUCGUGUGUGGCAAACAUG
Molecule: ribosomal RNA, 739 nt
Filed under: uncultured Fusobacterium sp.
Lineage: Bacteria; Fusobacteriati; Fusobacteriota; Fusobacteriia; Fusobacteriales; Fusobacteriaceae
Description: bacterial SSU rRNA
Rfam family: Bacterial small subunit ribosomal RNA
Source: RNAcentral